AUUGAACGCUGGCGGCAUGCCUUACACAUGCAAGUCGAACGGCAGCACGGGAGCAAUCCUGGUGGCGAGUGGCGAACGGGUGAGUAAUAUAUCGGAACGUGCCCAGUCGUGGGGAUAACGUAGCGAAAGCUACGCUAAUACCGCAUACGAUCUAUGGAUGAAAGCGGGGGAUCGCAAGACCUCGCGCGAUUGGAGCGGCCGAUAUCAGAUUAGGUAGUUGGUGAGGUAAAGGCUCACCAAGCCAACGAUCUGUAGCUGGUCUGAGAGGACGACCAGCCACACUGGAACUGAGACACGGUCCAGACUCCUACGGGAGGCAGCAGUGGGGAAUUUUUGGACAAUGGACGCAAGUCUGAUCCAGCCAUUCCGCGUGCAGGAUGAAGGCCCUCGGGUUGUAACU
Molecule: ribosomal RNA, 400 nt
Filed under: uncultured bacterium
Lineage: Bacteria
Description: bacterial SSU rRNA
Rfam family: Bacterial small subunit ribosomal RNA
Source: RNAcentral